GGCGGCGUGCUUAACACAUGCAAGUCGAACGGAAAGGCCCUGCUUGCAGGGUACUCGAGUGGCGAACGGGUGAGUAACACGUGGGUGAUCUGCCUUGCACUUCGGGAUAAGCCUGGGAAACUGGGUCUAAUACCGGAUAGGACCAUGCUUUAGUGUGUGUGGUGGAAAGUUUUUCGGUGCAAGAUGAGCCCGCGGCCUAUCAGCUUGUUGGUGGGGUAAUGGCCUACCAAGGCGACGACGGGUAGCCGGCCUGAGAGGGUGUACGGCCACAUUGGGACUGAGACACGGCCCAGACUCCUACGGGAGGCAGCAGUGGGGAAUAUUGCACAAUGGGCGCAAGCCUGAUGCAGCGACGCCGCGUGGGGGAUGAAGGCCUUCGGGUUGUAAACUCCUUUCGCUAGGGAAGAAGCCUUUUGGGUGACGGUACCUGGA
This 432-nucleotide ribosomal RNA is filed under the name Corynebacterium jeikeium. RNAcentral's name for it is "bacterial SSU rRNA". It matches the Rfam family "Bacterial small subunit ribosomal RNA", at positions 38 to 483 of the family's 1533-position model. Lineage: Bacteria; Bacillati; Actinomycetota; Actinomycetes; Mycobacteriales; Corynebacteriaceae. The record is from RNAcentral.